UCCGAAACUACAGGAGGUGGCUGCCUAUAUAUAACGCAUCGAGCCAACUUGCUUUCUGCCAAAAGCAACAUCCCAUAUUUUUUAAUCUGGAGGUAUGGAGAGACCUGAUGGACCGGAGGAACUAGCAAGAAAAGGAACCCACGCAUCACUAUUCCUCUUGAGCAGUACAACAAGAUGAUGGCUACACUUGAUAGGAUUGAUGUCCUGGCUUCGGGCCAUCGAGUUGCACGGCAGAAUUAUUUUAGCGAUUAGGCAUCGGAUGGAAGGAAGAGUGUAUGUUACUAGAAAUGAAGUGAGACUGAAGAACUGCACGGCAUGCGGCCGUCCAGGCCACAACAUUAGAACGUGUGGACGUCACUCUCCGUAGCAGAUGAAGACGUCAGAUAUGCUAUUAUUAUCGGCGAGUAGAUAAGCCGCAGUACAAAAUUUGUAUUUCCUUUUGAUAUCCAAUUUGUGUUCUUCUCGAUGUAAUCUCGGGGUAAUGAAGGUAUUAGAAAUCUUGUGGGAUAUGUAGUAUGUAAAGUUGAAGUGCCGUAAUGUGUGUAUGGCCUUAGUUCAUCUUAUUAAUUGAGUGGUAUGUAUAGUUGAGAUGGCGGUAUGAUGUAUGCCGCUAGUUGUAUGGAGUAUUGUAGUAUGAUGUAUGCCACUAGUUGUACAAAAUAGCCUGGUUAUAUAAAUUGAAAGAAAAAAUAGAUCUGUGCUUGCUAA
Long non-coding RNA from Lolium perenne, 708 nucleotides. RefSeq lists it as uncharacterized. The record is from RefSeq and is a predicted model, not a curated record. Lineage: Eukaryota; Viridiplantae; Streptophyta; Magnoliopsida; Poales; Poaceae.